This 769-nucleotide ribosomal RNA is filed under the name uncultured Actinomyces sp. RNAcentral's name for it is "bacterial SSU rRNA". It matches the Rfam family "Bacterial small subunit ribosomal RNA", at positions 27 to 776 of the family's 1533-position model. Lineage: Bacteria; Bacillati; Actinomycetota; Actinomycetes; Actinomycetales; Actinomycetaceae. The record is from RNAcentral.
GGACGAACGCGGCGGCGUGCUUAACACAUGCAAGUCGAACGGGUCUGCCUUGUUUUUGCGGGGUGGGUUAGUGGCGAACGGGUGAGUAACACGUGAGUAACCUGCCCCUCACUUCUGGAUAACCGCUUGAAAGGGUGGCUAAUACGGGGUGUUCUGGCUGUGCCGCAUGGUGUGGCUGGGAAAGAUUCACUUUUGUGGUGUUUUGGUGGGGGAUGGGCUCGCGGCCUAUCAGCUUGUUGGUGGGGUGAUGGCCUGCCAAGGCUUUGACGGGUAGCCGGCCUGAGAGGGUGGGCGGUCACACUGGGACUGAGAUACGGCCCAGACUCCUGCGGGAGGCAGCAGUGGGGGGUAUUGCACAAUGGGCGGAAGCCUGAUGCAGCGACGUCGCGUGAGGGAUGGAGGCCUUCGGGUUGUGAACCUCUUUCGCCGGUGAAGAAGGUCCUGCUCUUUUGUGGUGGGGUUGACGGUAGCCGGGUUAUGAAGCGCCGGCUAACUACGCGCCAGCAGCCGCGGUAAUACGUAGGGCGCGAGCGUUGUCCGGAAUUAUUGGGCGUAAAGGGCUUGUAGGCGGCUGGUCGCGUCUGCCGUGAAAUCCUCUGGCUCAGCUGGGGGCGUGCGGUGGGUACGGGCUGGCUUGAGUGCGGUAGGGGAGGCUGGAACUCCUGGUGUAGCGGUGGAAUGCGCAGAUAUCAGGAGGAACACCGGUGGCGAAGGCGGGUCUCUGGGCCGUUACUGACGCUGAGGAGCGAAAGCGUGGGGAGCGAACAGG